RNAcentral lists this ribosomal RNA (372 nucleotides) under uncultured organism. RNAcentral's name for it is "bacterial SSU rRNA". It matches the Rfam family "Bacterial small subunit ribosomal RNA", at positions 526 to 896 of the family's 1533-position model. The record is from RNAcentral.
CGUAGGGUGCGAGCGUUAAUCGGAAUUACUGGGCGUAAAGUGUGCGCAGGCGGCUCCGCAAGUCGAGUGUGAAAUCCCCGAGCUUAACUUGGGAAUUGCGCUCGAAACUACGGAACUGGAGUGUGGCAGAGGAAGGUGGAAUUCCACGUGUAGCGGUGAAAUGCGUAGAGAUGUGGAGGAACACCGAUGGCGAAGGCAGCCUUCUGGGCCAACACUGACGCUCAUGCACGAAAGCGUGGGGAGCAAACAGGAUUAGAUACCCUGGUAGUCCACGCCCUAAACGAUGAUGACUAGUUGUUGGAGGAGUUAAAUCCUUUAGUAACGCAGCUAACGCGUGGAGUCAUCCGCCUGGGGAGUACGGUCGCAAGAUUA